This 1049-nucleotide long non-coding RNA is filed under the name Salmo salar (Atlantic salmon). RNAcentral describes it as "lncRNA (ENSSSAG00000109251.1)". The record is from RNAcentral. Lineage: Eukaryota; Metazoa; Chordata; Actinopteri; Salmoniformes; Salmonidae.
GUGCAAGCGCUGCUACCCUGUGAAGCUGCAUAAGCAUUUUCAGCUCCCAAGCAAAUAAUACAAAUCGUGUUCUCAUCUGAGGCUGGGAGUUGUUUUUCCACACUGUUGACAUGGGUGGAAUGACAUCCUGUGUACAGCCCUGCAUCAGUGUGCAAAUAAUGAAUUUUCACAUAAGAGAAGUGUGUUCCAAGAAAAAGGUAACAAAAAAGCUUUUCGUUUCGGUGUAUGCUUUGAUUGCUUCAGUUUCGGCUUUGGAGAAAUGUUGACUUACUGUUGGCUCCGACCUGUCGUGCUUCGGGGUCAAGACUCCCAUAUAAAUAUGUAUCAAGAUCCGGGAUCAAAACUCCUGCCUAUAUGAAGCUACCUGACUGGCACGAUCAAGCAUGGACAAUCAGUCUCGGCGUUGGUGGACUCUGUCAUGCGAGGACCGGUGGUCUACUGCACCACUGAGCUCCGGGAUCAUAGCAAAACUCCAAGCGAGGGAGUGGUAAUGCUGGAUCAAAGGGCUGGGACUGGCACAACACCAUGGGUCAACAAGCGCCAACAACAGCGUGGAGUCUAUUGGGGGGACUAUGUUUCAUGAAGCCAUUAGAAGACUGUUGCUCACUGAGAGGAGUUGUGUCAAGUUGGCUGGAUGUCCUUUGGGUGGUGGACCAUUCUUAAAUGGGAAACUGUUGAGUGUGAAAAGCCCAGCAGUGUUGCAGUUCUUGACACAAACCACUGCGCCUGACGCCUACUACCAUACCCCAUUCAAAGGCACUUGAAUCAUUUUUCUUUCCCAUUCACCCUCUGAAUGGCAUACAUACACAAUCCAUGUCUCAAGGCUUAAAAUCCUUAUUUUACCUGUCUCCUCCCCUUCAUCUACACUCAUUUAAGUGGAUUUAACAGGUUACAUCAAUAAGGGAUCAUAGCUUAGAAAGAGCAGGUGUCCUUAAUGUUUUGUAUACUCAGUGUAUGUCUGCAUAGCAUUUUGCCUUCAUUUGGCAGAUUAACUGAUGCUUAUUUCUGAAGAUGAACUGUUUUUUCUCCUUUUUCUCCUCUGGAACCAG